AAUAUUGGGACAUAUAAAAAAAAGAUAACUCUGUUCCGCAGAGUAGCUGUUGACAUUAUAGUUGCGCAGACACUUUGUUGACUCUAGAGAACCUCGGGCCAAUCGCACAUCCCCGUGGCGGCAACUUUGCAUGCGGAUGUCAUCCAUAUCAACUUUCUAUGCCAGUUUCUGCUCCUACCAUGGUGACCACGGAUAGCGGGAAUCAGGGUUCCAUUCCGUACAGGGACCCUGAGAAACGGCUGCCACAUGCAAGGAAGGCAGCAGGCGCGCAAAUGACCCACUCCUGACGCGGGAAGCUAGUGA
Molecule: non-coding RNA, 303 nt
Organism: Pelobates cultripes (western spadefoot toad)
Lineage: Eukaryota; Metazoa; Chordata; Amphibia; Anura; Pelobatidae
Source: the annotation of a GenBank genome assembly